CCUACGGGUGGCUGCAGUAGGGAAUCUUCCACAAUGGGCGAAAGCCUGAUGGAGCAACGCCGCGUGGGUGAAGAAGGUCUUCGGAUCGUAAAACCCUGUUGUUAGAGAAGAAAGUGCGUGAGAGUAACUGUUCACGUUUCGACGGUAUCUAACCAGAAAGCACCGGCUAACUACGUGCCAGCAGCCGCGGUAAUACGUAGGUGGCAAGCGUUAACCGGAUUUAUUGGGCGAAAAGGGAACGCAGGCGGUCUGUUAAGUCUAAUGUGAAAGCCUUCGGCUUAACCGGAGUAGUGCAUUGGAAACUGGGAGACUUGAGUGCAGAAGAGGAGAGUGGAACUCCAGGUGUAGCGGUGAAAUGCGGAGAUAUAUGGAAGAACACCAGUGGCGAAAGCGACUCUCUGGUCUGUAACUGACGCUGAGGUGCGAAAGCGUGGGUAGCAAACAGGAUUAGAUACCCGUGUAGUC
RNAcentral lists this ribosomal RNA (465 nucleotides) under uncultured bacterium. Its description in RNAcentral is "partial 16S ribosomal RNA". It matches the Rfam family "Bacterial small subunit ribosomal RNA", at positions 338 to 795 of the family's 1533-position model. The record is from RNAcentral.